GCUGGGCAUGGUGGCUCAUGCCUGUAAUCCCAGCACUUUGGGAGGCUGAGGUGGGUGGAUCACUUGAGGUCAGGAGUUCAAGACCAGCCUGGCCAACAUGGUGAAACCCCAUCUCUA
Gorilla gorilla gorilla (western lowland gorilla) is the source of this 117-nucleotide non-coding RNA. It matches the Rfam family "Metazoan signal recognition particle RNA". From Rfam's summary of the family: The signal recognition particle (SRP) is a universally conserved ribonucleoprotein. Lineage: Eukaryota; Metazoa; Chordata; Mammalia; Primates; Hominidae. The record is from Rfam.